ACAUUUGCUCCAGUAGCCAAGUUAAACACAGUUCGGGUUUUAUUAUCUUUGGCUGCAAACCUUGACUGGCCUCUCCACCAACUAGAUGUCAGAUGCCUUUCUAAAUGGGGACUAACUGAGAGAUCAAGCCAACAAUCCACCUCAAAAUCUGGACACACCUCAAAAUUUGGACACUAUUCAAUCAACAAAGAGUGAUGAAUUGAUUACCUACUCAAGGAGGAGAAAGAACCAAAAGGAGAUGGAACAACAAGCAUCUCUUGAGCAAACCCAAGAGUCUGACUCAAGUCCUAGAUCAAGUGAAGAUCCACCAGGUAACACUAAUCCUGAAACUAAUGAUGACAGUGGCCUUCCUAUUGCUGUGAGAAAAGGGGUAAGAUCAUGCACAAAACAUCCGAUAUACACAUUUGUGUCAUAUGAAGGAUUGUCACCGAAGUUCAAAGCUUUUGUUGCCAACCUCGACAACAUCCAAGUUCCUAAUAAUAUACAAGAAGCUCUCAGCUCACCAGAAUGGAAAUCAGCAGUGUAUGAAGAAAUUCAUGCACUAGAGAAAAAUGGAACUUGGGAAAUCUCUGACUUACCAACCGGGAAACGCCCAGUAGGCUGCAAAUGGAUCUUCACAGUAAAAUAUAAUGAAGAUGGGAGUGUUAAUCGGUUCAAGGCACGACUGGUUGCAAAGGGAUUCACCCAAUCAUAUGGAAUCGAUUAUGAGGAGACAUUUGCUCCAGUAGCCAAGUUAAACACAGUUCGGGUUUUAUUAUCUUUGGCUGCAAACCUUGACUGGCCUCUCCACCAACUAGAUGUCAAGAAUGCCUUUCUAAAUGGGGACCUAACUGAAGAAGUGUACAUGGAAAUUCCCCCCGGAUUUGAGACACAAACUACAUGCAACAAGGUUUGUAAACUUAGGAGAUCGCUAUAUGGGCUCAAGCAAUCUCCAAGAGCUUGGUUUGAAAGAUUCACAAAGGUAGUGAAGAAGCAUGGCUACUCUCAAUGUCAGACGGACCAUACACUAUUUGUUAAACACUCUUCUG
Molecule: long non-coding RNA, 1028 nt
Filed under: Ricinus communis (castor bean)
Lineage: Eukaryota; Viridiplantae; Streptophyta; Magnoliopsida; Malpighiales; Euphorbiaceae
Description: long non-coding RNA (RCOM_LNC001720)
Source: RNAcentral